AACGAACGCUGGCGGCAGGCCUAACACAUGCAAGUCGAACGGUAGCACAGAGAGCUUGCUCUCGGGUGACGAGUGGCGGACGGGUGAGUAAUGUCUGGGAAACUGCCCGAUGGAGGGGGAUAACUACUGGAAACGGUAGCUAAUACCGCAUAACGUCGCAAGACCAAAGUGGGGGACCUUCGGGCCUCACACCAUCGGAUGUGCCCAGAUGGGAUUAGCUAGUAGGUGGGGUAAUGGCUCACCUAGGCGACGAUCCCUAGCUGGUCUGAGAGGAUGACCAGCCACACUGGAACUGAGUCACGGUCCAGACUCCUACGGGAGGCAGCAGUGGGGAAUAUUGCACAAUGGGCGCAAGCCUGAUGCAGCCAUGCCGCGUGUAUGAAGAAGGCCUUCGGGUUGUAAAGUACUUUCAGCGGGGAGGAAGGCGGUGAAGUUAAUAGCUUCACCGAUUGACGUUACCCGCAGAAGAAGCACCGGCUAACUCCGUGCCAGCCGCCGCCGUAA
RNAcentral lists this ribosomal RNA (504 nucleotides) under uncultured bacterium. Its description in RNAcentral is "partial 16S ribosomal RNA". It matches the Rfam family "Bacterial small subunit ribosomal RNA", at positions 29 to 523 of the family's 1533-position model. The record is from RNAcentral.